GAUGAACGCUGGCGGCGUGCCUAAUACAUGCAAGUCGAGCGAACAGAUAAGGAGCUUUCUCCUUUGACGUUAGCGGCGGACGGGUGAGUAACACGUGGAUAACCUACCUCUAAUACUGGGAUAACUACGGGAAAAAGGUGCUACUACCGCAUCAUAUGUCGAACCGCAUGGUUCAAAAGAGAAAGAUGGUUUUGCUGUCACUAAUAGAUGAAUCCGCGCCGGCUUAGUUAGGUGGUAAGGUAACGGCUUACCAAGGCAACGAUUCGUAUCCGACCGGAGGGGGAGGUUCGCCAACCCGGAACUGAGGACACGGUCCGACUCCUACGGGGAGGAACAGUAGGGAAUCUUCCGCCAUGGGCGAAAGCCUUACGGAGGAAAGCCGCGGGAGUUAUGAAGGUCUUCGGAUCGUUAAACUCUGUUAGUAGGGAAGAAAAAAUGUCUAAUUAACUGCGCACGUCUUGACGGUAACCAAACAGAAAGCCACGGCUAACUACGGG
Molecule: ribosomal RNA, 497 nt
Filed under: uncultured bacterium
Lineage: Bacteria
Description: partial 16S ribosomal RNA
Rfam family: Bacterial small subunit ribosomal RNA
Source: RNAcentral